Corythoichthys intestinalis (scribbled pipefish) is the source of this 765-nucleotide long non-coding RNA. RefSeq lists it as uncharacterized. The record is from RefSeq and is a predicted model, not a curated record. Lineage: Eukaryota; Metazoa; Chordata; Actinopteri; Syngnathiformes; Syngnathidae. The transcript has 2 exons.
AUGGCGGCUUGGAGUAUUUCACCGCAGGACACGAUUCGAAUGGUGUUAGAAAAUCCUGAUUCCGACGACGACGACCUUUGUUCGGACGCUUCUUUGGAGAGCCCAGAAGACAUUGAACAAAUUCUUCCGGACUUUCGAUGCCGGAGGAGGACGGCUUUGAUGACGAGGAUUAGGAAAUAGUUGACAACAUAACGAGAUGAAAGCGGGGAGCAGAAGGCGGGGGCACGGACAUGACCACGUUGAGGCGCAUGACGAAAAUGACGGCGAUCGAGGCCUGAGGCACAUACUCCUGCCGCCGGCGCGCACUCAGGUGGCCAAUGUGUGUUUUUUCACAUGCCGGACAUUUCGUCAUGCAGCGCGUUUGUGCUGUUCACGGAGAUCUACCCUCGUUUGUGCUGUUCACGGAGAUCUACCCUGAGUGGAACGUGAAGAAAAGCUACAAGCGCCGACUAUUUCUUGAGGAACUUGGCAAGGCUCUAAUUCGGCCAGAAGUCCUAAAACGGGAACCACCGCCUUCUGCCGAAGGCUUGGUUGAGCAGCGAGCUGGACCCCCGUCCAAGCGCAAACAAUGUGGCCUUUGCACAAAGCCACUUCGGGCUUCGAACAUAAUAAUAAAUAAUAAUACAUUUUAUUUAUAACGCACUUUACAUUUGAACAACAAAUCUCAAAGUGCACAUCAUGAAUUGUGUAUGUUGUUAUUAUGUUAACUGUUAUAUUGUAUGUAUGUUUUGUAAAAUUGUUAACAUAAAUUCUAUCAUCAAAUCA